UGCCCCUCGCCCCCAGCUGAAUAUGAGAUUCCAGCCGCUCCACAUCCUCAUGGUACUUGGUGGUGUAAGUUCUUAAAAUUUUUAGCCAUUCAGUGCUUUGCCCGGCUGGAGUAGCUGAGUGGUUGAACAUCGACCUGUGAACCAGGAGAUCACAGUUCGAUUCCCAGUCA
This is a long non-coding RNA of Myotis lucifugus (little brown bat), 170 nucleotides long. RefSeq lists it as uncharacterized. The record is from RefSeq and is a predicted model, not a curated record. The transcript is spliced from 3 exons. Lineage: Eukaryota; Metazoa; Chordata; Mammalia; Chiroptera; Vespertilionidae.